RNAcentral lists this ribosomal RNA (693 nucleotides) under uncultured Sphingobacteriia bacterium. Its description in RNAcentral is "bacterial SSU rRNA". It matches the Rfam family "Bacterial small subunit ribosomal RNA", at positions 72 to 764 of the family's 1533-position model. The record is from RNAcentral. Lineage: Bacteria; Pseudomonadati; Bacteroidota; Sphingobacteriia.
UUCUGCUUUCGGGCAGAAACGACCGGCGCACGGGUGCGUAACGCGUAUGCAACCUACCCACAACUGGGGGAUAGCCCGGAGAAAUCCGGAUUAAUACCCCAUAAUGCAGGGGUACUGCAUGGUACUAUUUGCUAAAGAUUUAUCGGUUGUGGAUGGGCAUGCGUCUGAUUAGUUAGUUGGUGAGGUAACGGCUCACCAAGGCGACGAUCAGUAGGGGGUCUGAGAGGAUGAUCCCCCACACUGGUACUGAGAUACGGACCAGACUCCUACGGGAGGCAGCAGUAGGGAAUAUUGGUCAAUGGGCGGAAGCCUGAACCAGCCAUGCCGCGUGCAGGAUGACGGCCUUCUGGGUUGUAAACUGCUUUUAUCAGGGAAGAAAACGGUCAUGCGUGACAGAUUGACGGUACCUGAAGAAUAAGCACCGGCUAACUCCGUGCCAGCAGCCGCGGUAAUACGGAGGGUGCAAGCGUUGUCCGGAUUUAUUGGGUUUAAAGGGUGCGUAGGCGGAUUAUUAAGUCAGUGGUGAAAGUUUGCGGCUCAACCGUAAAAGUGCCAUUGAUACUGGUAGUCUUGAGUACAGUAGAGGUAGGCGGAAUUUAUGGUGUAGCGGUGAAAUGCAUAGAUACCAUAAAGAACACCGAUAGCGAAGGCAGCUUACUAUACUGAGACUGACGCUGAGGCACGAAAGCGUGG